This 397-nucleotide unclassified non-coding RNA is filed under the name Hevea brasiliensis (rubber tree). The record is from RNAcentral. Lineage: Eukaryota; Viridiplantae; Streptophyta; Magnoliopsida; Malpighiales; Euphorbiaceae.
AAAGACGGAACCAUAUCCUCCUUCACCAACUUGAGUUGAGGUAUCAAAGUUGUUAGUGGCCGAAGCCAUUUCUCUGAAGGUGAAACUUUUAACGCCAUCUACUUUUAUAGAGAGGCUAGAAGACAAACGUUUUCUUGACAAGAUGUUUUGAUACUUAGCACGUCGUCUUGUGAUUAAUAGAGUGACAAUUGAGGAAACAAAGGCAGCAAAAGCACCUGCUGCUACAAUGAAAGCUAUCACAACGCCUUUGCUUUGUUUUUUACCUUUAAUUUCCGGAUUCAAGUGUGAAUAAGGUCCGAGGAGUGUGAAGUUCAGGAGCUCAUAUGGUCCAAAUAGGUGACUUCCUCGGAAUUCCCAAGAGGCAAAAAUCUCACUGAUACGAAGAAUCUCACUUUCA